CAUUAUUUAUUCAGAAUUUUUUUACAAAUUUCUUACUGCUAACUUAUCUACGAGUCUUAAUUCUAACAUCUUUAGAGUGUUUUACACUCUGUGCACGCUGACAUCCCUGACUUAAUCUACCUUAACCUAAUGUGGGCACAUUAGGUUAAGACCCUAAGUUUAGACCUAAAUCUAAUACAACUUCUCUUGCUACCUAAGCUAACUUACAGCUAGUCCUGGUCCUCUAGGGACUCCAUGGGGGAUGUGGUCUACAAGUAAGGGCACGUGCAAGUACAAGAGUUUAUAUGAACUUUUCUUUUUAAAUGCGUCAACGUUAUAAUUUUAUUGGGCAAUAUUAAUAAAAUUUCUAUAUUACUCAAAUAAAUUUAUCUAAAGCUAACAGUUCCCACCCUGUGAAAUUCAAACAAUUAAAAUGCAUAUAAUAAAUUCAAAUUACCCGCUUAGUGUGUACACGGAUUACAUCCGGCUAUAACGUGACAUUCGAGAGUGACAAUGAGAGCGGACCAAUGAGAAUCAUCUUUCACGCAGUGCUGCUUGGCGGUAACGCCAAACCUCUCAGAAUUUCUGAAAAGCUGCAAAGCUUAUAAUUGAUUGGUUAUUGGCAUAAACAAAUUAUUAUGUGCUAUUACACAAAUCUUGAUUUUUUAAAUUACCUAUACGAAUGUAGAUUUGUUAUUUACUACAAUACGCAGCAAGACAAAAUUUAGAUAUAUACCAUAUUUAGAUAAUAUCGGUUUAUCAGUGAUGUCAUAUCCGGGGUGUGACAAUUCAGCAAUUUUCCAUGUUUAUCUCAGGUUACGUGCAUUACGUGUUUUUCGAAAACUUGAGAAUAUUGAAAAUCCAUAUAAUCGAUGCGAAAAAUAAAUAUGACUCAAAAUAUAAAAACCGUGCUUGUGCCUCAGUGUUAUGAUGUGACGGAAAUUACGGUAUAAUUAUGGCUUAAAACCCCGCAAACAUCUAAAGGUGAUACCGCUGUUCUGGACUUGAAGCAUUGAAGACGCUAGGAAUCACGUGAGAAAACCACACACGAAAAAUGUUCGCAUAAGAUAUGGCAAAAAUGUAUAGGUAAUGUCGCUUUUGUGGACUUGAAGCAUUGAAGAUGCUCGGGAACACCAGAUCUCCAGAUCCAGUGAGAAAACCACACACGAAAAAUUUUCGCAUUAGAGACAAGAUUCUGGAUAAACAAAAACGUCAUCGAAUUUUGAUAUAAAAGACCGUCUGAUUUGUCCCCAAAUAAGACACUCUACAAACUUCAGUCGAGACACAUCGCGGUCGUGCA
Dendroctonus ponderosae (mountain pine beetle) is the source of this 1279-nucleotide long non-coding RNA. RefSeq lists it as uncharacterized. Lineage: Eukaryota; Metazoa; Arthropoda; Insecta; Coleoptera; Curculionidae. The transcript has 4 exons. The record is from RefSeq and is a predicted model, not a curated record.